Molecule: long non-coding RNA, 296 nt
Filed under: Mytilus galloprovincialis (Mediterranean mussel)
Lineage: Eukaryota; Metazoa; Mollusca; Bivalvia; Mytilida; Mytilidae
Source: RNAcentral
CAAUAAAAUAACUGAGUUGAACACACACAUAUCUAUAUAUAUACAAGUAAAACUAACUAAGAGUCCCCUGUCCUCAGCUCUAAAGACUGUUUUAUAAAGGAACCUGUUUUUUUUCACUUGGUUUAUAUUAGAAGGAUUUAGUAGGACUACUAGUUUUUCAGUGUCAGAUAGAUUUGGAAACAUAGGGUUAUCUAUUGCCAUGUCAUUAAAAAGUUUUAUACGUAAAACAUUAUUAAUUUGACAGUAGAGGAGAAAGUGAUUUUCAUCUUCUAAGGUUUUACAAGUUGGACAUGUUC